RNAcentral lists this ribosomal RNA (497 nucleotides) under uncultured bacterium. RNAcentral describes it as "bacterial SSU rRNA". It matches the Rfam family "Bacterial small subunit ribosomal RNA", at positions 96 to 611 of the family's 1533-position model. The record is from RNAcentral.
UGGCGGACGGGUGAGUAACGCGUGGGUAACCUGCCUUGUACUGGGGGAUAGCAGCUGGAAACGGCUGGUAAUACCGCAUAAGCGCACAAUGUUGCAUGACAUGGUGUGAAAAACUCCGGUGGUAUAAGAUGGACCCGCGUCUGAUUAGCUAGUUGGUGAGAUAACAGCCCACCAAGGUGACGAUCAGUAGCCGACCUGAGAGGGUGGCCGGCCACAUUGGGACUGAGACACGGCCCAGACUCCUACGGGAGGCAGCAGUGGGGAAUAUUGCACAAUGGAGGAAACUCUGAUGCAGCGACGCCGCGUGAGUGAAGAAGUAAUUCGUUAUGUAAAGCUCUAUCAGCAGGGAAGAUAGUGACGGUACCUGACUAAGAAGCUCCGGCUAAAUACGUGCCAGCAGCCGCGGUAAUACGUAUGGAGCAAGCGUUAUCCGGAUUUACUGGGUGUAAAGGGAGUGUAGGUGGCCAUGCAAGUCAGAAGUGAAAAUCCGGGGCUCA